AGCGAACGCUGGCGGCAGGCUUAACACAUGCAAGUCGAGCGGGCCCUUCGGGGUCAGCGGCGGACGGGUGAGUAACGCGUGGGAACGUGCCUUCUGGUUCGGAAUAACUCAGGGAAACUUGAGCUAAUACCGGAUACGCCCUUUUAGGGAAAGGUUUACUGCCGGAAGAUCGGCCCGCGUCUGAUUAGCUAGUUGGUGGGGUAACGGCCUACCAAGGCGACGAUCAGUAGCUGGUCUGAGAGGAUGAUCAGCCACACUGGGACUGAGACACGGCCCAGACUCCUACGGGAGGCAGCAGUGGGGAAUAUUGGACAAUGGGCGCAAGCCUGAUCCAGCCAUGCCGCGUGAGUGAUGAAGGCCUUAGGGUUGUAAAGCUCUUUUAUCCGGGACGAUAAUGACGGUACCGGAGGAAUAAGCCCCGGCUAACUUCGUG
RNAcentral lists this ribosomal RNA (433 nucleotides) under uncultured bacterium. RNAcentral's name for it is "partial 16S ribosomal RNA". It matches the Rfam family "Bacterial small subunit ribosomal RNA", at positions 29 to 507 of the family's 1533-position model. The record is from RNAcentral.